Molecule: long non-coding RNA, 428 nt
Filed under: Salvia miltiorrhiza (redroot sage)
Lineage: Eukaryota; Viridiplantae; Streptophyta; Magnoliopsida; Lamiales; Lamiaceae
Description: long non-coding RNA (SMIL_LNC010682)
Source: RNAcentral
UGGGUUUUUCUUAUUCGAUAACAUCCCUAAAGAAACAUUCAAGCGAUGCAAACUCUUGUUUGUGAACAAUGAAAUAUUCUAAGGAUCAAACUGCACCCCUUCCCUUCUAGUAAGUCAAAACAACAACAUUGAAAUUUUGAAUUUUAUUAUAUGGUGGCAUUCCUUUUUUUUUUUUUUUUGUAAACAGGCAUUUCAUUUAAAGUUGUCCUUUUAUCAUGCACGUUCUAUAGAAAUGUAUAUGCAUGCAUCAUGAUCAUCUAGAGUCAAAAUGAAUAAUUUUCUACGAACGGAAGUAUUCACAUUGAUACCGACAUGUUUUUAAACUUAGAUAGAACAUUAACAUAAAUCCACCUAAAUAGUUUUAUUUUUAUUUUAUUUUUUUGAGAAAAAAUCCACGUAAAUAGUUAUAGUUAUUUACAUAAAAAAUG